GUGGGGAAUCUUGCGCAAUGGGCGAAAGCCUGACGCAGCGACGCCGCGUGGGGGAUGAAGGUCUUCGGAUCGUAAACCCCUGUUGCCCGGGACGAAUGCCCUAUUUGUAGGGAGCGACGGUACCGGGUGAGGAAGCACCGGCUAACUCUGUGCCAGCAGCCGCGGUAAUACAGAGGGUGCGAGCGUUGUCCGGAAUCACUGGGCGUAAAGGGCGCGUAGGUGGCCUGCGAAGCGUGCGGUGAAAGCCCGGAGCUCAACUCCGGGUCGGCCGUGCGAACUGGCGGGCUUGAGCACGGUAGAGGCUAAUGGAAUUCCGGGUGUAGCGGUGGAAUGCGUAGAGAUCCGGAAGAACACCGGUGGCGAAGGCGAUUAGCUGGGCCGGUGCUGACACUGAGGCGCGACAGCGUGGGGAGCAAACAGGAUUAGAUACCCCAGUAGUCC
Molecule: ribosomal RNA, 441 nt
Filed under: uncultured bacterium
Lineage: Bacteria
Description: bacterial SSU rRNA
Rfam family: Bacterial small subunit ribosomal RNA
Source: RNAcentral